UUAAGUCGAUAAGAGGGAAAUUAAACUGUGUGAACCUGAAGCUGUUAGCUGUCUCCCCUUUUCUCCCUUUGCCCCACAGUGCACCAUACCAUGCCUAUUUUUUUUAGCAUAUUUUAAAACUGUGGUGAGAACUAACCAGUGCUGAAACAGGGGGUUUCAUGACCCUUACAGAACUGAAUCAACAUAUGCUUGGCAGUAGGUCGUUCCUGAAAUUUUCUCUGCUUAAGGUCUCAGUUUCUCUCUGUUCCUUGCUAGUUAUGGCGAUGUGUAUGUUUACUCCAGCAAUCUAGGCAGUGAUUUAGACAAAGCUCUUAUGUAUCCACCCUUAUUGUCCUACCUGGUCUCAUGGCAUAAAUGUACCUUAGUGCACUUUUAAGUGAGGCACAUAGUAAUAUCAACAAGUUCAUAUCACUGCAGUUUCCAAAGGGAAUGAACACUAGAGGCAGUAAACAAAUCUUUAUGAGAUGCCUUUAAUUCCUUUUUACACAAAUGUUUUGAUUAAUAAAUCAUAAUUUUCAAACAAUAUUUUUAUGAGACCAGGUUGUUAUUGUUUUUACUAUAGUGAAGUAGAAAAAAAUAAUAUAAAAAUUUAGAUCUCAUUUAAUUAGAAAAUAUUACGUGUAUUUAAGCUGUUUAAUGGUGGGUUAAAUCAAACUGCAGCUGGAUAAGGUGUAAAGUAUAGAUACACAUGAAGUACACAAGUACGGUCUUGAUACACUUUAAGUAGCUUAUGUGUACUAAUUGGUUACAUGUAAGUAGAUGUGAGUCUAUUAUAUAUGUCUAACAGUAAUCGCCUAUUACAUGUAUAUAUAACUGAAAAAUACUGGCUGUUCUAUAACUUGGUUACAUGGUAAGUACAUUUUGUUUAACGUAAGUACAAUGACUUCUACUAAGUACUUACAGUAAGUAGUUAAUUACUCUUAAUUGUGGACACCUUGAAAUAAAGUGUUACCACCUUAGACUGCAUACUAAAUACUGCAAUUACAUACUGUAUGCAUUUGCAAAAACAAACAAAUAAACACUUAGUUUAAUCCCAGUUUUUGUGAGUUUCAGUCCUAAAUUUUAAAUGAUCUUGGUAGAAUGCAGUUUCUUAACAAGUAUGCACUUUUCUCUUUUAGAAAUGAAAUUAUCUGUGGGUCAGCAAGAGGCAUUUGAAAUCUUUUUGAGAGACCAUGAAGAUCGUUUACUAAUUGAAAACAACAGAGCUGUUUUGCAACAAAGGUUUGUUGAAGCAAAAACCCUUGGUGAGCAAGUUAACCAGAUUAGGAUCAGAGUCAAUGAACUGAAGUCCCAGCUGAAAAUUAGACGAAAGCAAAUAGCAGCCCAAGGCUUAACAGAAAACCAAACAGCAUCAGAGUCAGACUAUGUUGAGGAAAGAAUUCUUAACCAGAUAGAAGAGGAAAAGAAAAGGGUCACAGUGCAGAGAACACAGAAAGCAGUCCCGACAGCCCUCUCAGCUGCUUGUUAACCAGAGCCUUGCCCCCAGCUGAAUACUCAUCUCCCUCUAUUCCUUUAACUGGACAUAAAGAGACUGAUGCUGAUAUACAGGCCUUUAUCAGAGCCAGACACAACCUGGUCAACAACACAGGAGCGGCAAAAUAAGAACAUUUCUAAUUAAGAACAGAGGAGGACAAAAA
This is an RNA transcript of Puntigrus tetrazona (Sumatra barb), 1637 nucleotides long. It is a transcript of the gene named kinesin-like protein KIF6, with no coding region annotated. NCBI's taxonomy places the organism in Eukaryota, Metazoa, Chordata, Actinopteri, Cypriniformes, Cyprinidae. The record is from RefSeq and is a predicted model, not a curated record. The transcript is spliced from 7 exons.